RNAcentral lists this ribosomal RNA (477 nucleotides) under uncultured bacterium. RNAcentral describes it as "partial 16S ribosomal RNA". It matches the Rfam family "Bacterial small subunit ribosomal RNA", at positions 28 to 523 of the family's 1533-position model. The record is from RNAcentral.
GACGAACGCUGGCGGCGUGCUUAACACAUGCAAGUCGAACGGUAAGGCCCUUCGGGGUACACGAGUGGCGAACGGGUGAGUAACGCGUGGGUGAUCUGCCCUGCACUUCGGGAUAAGCCUGGGAAACUGGUCUAAUACCGGAUAGGACCCUGGGAUGCAUGUCCUGGGGUGGAAAGCUUUUGCGGUGUGGGAUGGGCCCGAGGCCUAUCAGCUUGGUGGUGGGGUGAUGGCCUACCAAGGCGACGACGGGUAGCCGGCCUGAGAGGGUGACCGGCCACACUGGGACUGAGAUACGGCCCAGACUCCUACGGGAGGCAGCAGUGGGGAAUAUUGCACAAUGGGCGCAAGCCUGAUGCAGCGACGCCGCGUGAGGGAUGACGGCCUUCGGGUUGUAAACCUCUUUCAGCACCGACGAAGCGCAAGUGACGGUAGGUGCAGAAGAAGGACCGGCCAACUACGUGCCAGCAGCCGCGGUAA